UUAGAGUUUGAUCAUGGCUCAGGACGAACGCUGGCGGCGUGCUUAAUACAUGCAAGUCGAAUGGGAGUAUUGAAGAAGCUUGCUUUAGAGAUACUUUAGUGGCGGACGGGUGAGUAACGCGUGAGGAGCUGUCCAAUGCAGGGGGACAACAGUUGGAAACGACUGCUAAUACCCCAUAAGCCGAGAGGUAAAAGGAUUUAUCCGGCAAUGGAGGUACUCGCGUCCUAUCAGCUAGUAGGUGAGGUAACGGCUCACCUAGGCGAAGACGGGUAGCCGGCCUGAGAGGGCGAACGGCCACACUGGAACUGAGAUACGGUCCAGACUCCUACGGGAGGCAGCAGUGGGGAAUAUUGGGCAAUGGGGGGAACCCUGACCCAGCGACGCCGCGUGGGUGAAGAAAUCCUUCGGGAUGUAAAGCCCUGUUGUAUGGGAAGAGCGAGACGGUACCAUACGAGGAAGCCCCGGCAACUACGUGCCAGCAGCCGCGUAAUACGUAGGGGCAGCGUUGUCCGGAUUACUGGGCGUUAAGCGCACGCAGGCGGUCUGUCAAGUCGGAUGUGAAAUCCCCGGGCUCAACCUGGGAACUGCAUUCGAAACUGGCAGGCUGGAGUCUUGUAGAGGGGGGUAGAAUUCCAGGUGUAGCGGUGAAAUGCGUAGAGAUCUGGAGGAAUACCGGUGGCGAAGGCGGCCCCCUGGACAAAGACUGACGUUCAGUGGGAAGCGUGGGAGCAAACAGGAUAGAUACCUGUAGUCACGCUGUAAACGAUGUCGACUGGAGGUGUCCAUGAGGAGUGGCUUCCGGAGCUACGCGUUAAGUCGACCGCCUGGGGAGUACGGCCGCAAGGUUAAAACUCAAAUGAAUGACGGGGCCCGCACAAGCGGUGGAGCAUGUGGUUUAAUUCGAUGCAACGCGAAGAACCUUACCUACUCUUGACAUCCAGAGAACUUAGCAGAGAUGCUUUGGUGCCUUCGGGAACUCUGAGACAGGUGCUGCAUGGCUGUCGUCAGCUCGUGUUGUGAAAUGUUGGGUUAAGUCCCGCAACGAGCGCAACCCUUAUCCUUUGUUGCCAGCGAUUCGGUCGGGAACUCAAAGGAGACUGCCAGUGAUAAACUGGAGGAAGGUGGGGAUGACGUCAAGUCAUCAUGGCCCUUACGAGUAGGGCUACACACGUGCUACAAUGGCAUAUACAAAGAGAAGCGACCUCGCGAGAGCAAGCGGACCUCAUAAAGUAUGUCGUAGUCCGGAUUGGAGUCUGCAACUCGACUCCAUGAAGUCGGAAUCGCUAGUAAUCGUGGAUCAGAAUGCCACGGUGAAUACGUUCCCGGGCCUUGUACACACCGCCCGUCACACCAUGGGAGUGGGUUGCAAAAGAAGUAGGUAGCUUAACCUUCGGGAGGGCGCUUACCACUUUGUGAUUCAUGACUGGGGUGAAGUCGUAACAAGGUAACCGUAAU
Molecule: ribosomal RNA, 1455 nt
Filed under: uncultured Klebsiella sp.
Lineage: Bacteria; Pseudomonadati; Pseudomonadota; Gammaproteobacteria; Enterobacterales; Enterobacteriaceae
Description: partial 16S ribosomal RNA
Rfam family: Bacterial small subunit ribosomal RNA
Source: RNAcentral